This 218-nucleotide ribosomal RNA is filed under the name Octactis speculum. Its description in RNAcentral is "partial Archaeal large subunit ribosomal RNA". Lineage: Eukaryota; Dictyochophyceae; Dictyochales; Dictyochaceae. The record is from RNAcentral.
UGAAGGAACGCAGUCUAUGUUAUUGACGCCUGGUGAAAGGGUGAGCCUUUACUGGGACUUCGAUGCCAAAGCGGUGGAAUCGAUCGGGAUCGAAAAAGAUAGCUUUUCCACGUAUAUGCUUGAGGCGCAGAAAGGCAGGCAGACAGAUCGUACGGAGAAACGACUUCGGCGAUGUGACCUUGAAAAAGCAUUCGAGAUGAUCGACUUGGACCGUACCG